GCAUCCAUGGCUGAAUGGUGAAAGCACCCAACCGGGCAAAUUCGUAGGUUCGAUUCCUGCUGGAUGCG
RNAcentral lists this transfer RNA (68 nucleotides) under Ipomoea nil (Japanese morning glory). It matches the Rfam family "tRNA". Rfam says of the family: Transfer RNA (tRNA) molecules are approximately 80 nucleotides in length. Their secondary structure includes four short double-helical elements and three loops (D, anti-codon, and T loops). Lineage: Eukaryota; Viridiplantae; Streptophyta; Magnoliopsida; Solanales; Convolvulaceae. The record is from Rfam by way of RNAcentral.